CCUACGGGAGGCAGCAGUGGGGAAUAUUGGUCAAUGGCCGGAAGGCUGAACCAGCCAUGCCGCGUGAAGGUCAGUGCCCUAUGGGCGUUAAACUUCUUUUGUGCGGGAGCAAUAAUGGUCACGUGUGGCCAGACGAGAGUACCGUACGAAUAAGCAUCGGCUAACUCCGUGCCAGCAGCCGCGGUAAUACGGGGGAUGCAAGCGUUAUCCGGAUUUAUUGGGGUUAAAGGGUGCGUAGGCUGUGAGGUAAGUCAGCGGUGAAAUGCCCCCGCUCAACGGGGUGAAGUGCCAUUGAUACUGCCUUGCUGGAAUGCGGAUGCCGUGGGAGGAAUGUGUGGUGUAGCGGUGAAAUGCAUAGAUAUCACACAGAACACCGAUUGCGAAGGCAUCUCACGAAUCCGCGAUUGACGCUGAUGCACGAAAGCGUGGGUAUCAAACAGGAUUAGAUACCCCAGUAGUC
RNAcentral lists this ribosomal RNA (460 nucleotides) under uncultured bacterium. Its description in RNAcentral is "partial 16S ribosomal RNA". It matches the Rfam family "Bacterial small subunit ribosomal RNA", at positions 338 to 795 of the family's 1533-position model. The record is from RNAcentral.